CCUACGGGUGGCUGCAGUGGGGAAUAUUGGACAAUGGGCGAAAGCCUGAUCCAGCCAUGCCGCGUGUGUGAAGAAGGCCUUCGGGUUGUAAAGCACUUUCAGUUGGGAAGAAAGCCUUGGGGCUAAUACCCUCGAGGAAGGACAUCACCCACAGAAGAAGCACCGGCUAACUCCGUGCCAGCAGCCGCGGUAAUACGGAGGGUGCGAGCGUUAAUCGGAAUUACUGGGCGUAAAGCGCGCGUAGGCGGUCUGAUAAGCCGGUUGUGAAAGCCCCGGGCUCAACCUGGGAACGGCAUCCGGAACUGUCAGGCUAGAGUGCAGGAGAGGAAGGUAGAAUUCCCGGUGUAGCGGUGAAAUGCGUAGAGAUCGGGAGGAAUACCAGUGGCGAAGGCGGCCUUCUGGACUGACACUGACGCUGAGGUGCGAAAGCGUGGGUAGCAAACAGGAUUAGAUACCCUGGUAGUC
Molecule: ribosomal RNA, 465 nt
Filed under: Vreelandella stevensii
Lineage: Bacteria; Pseudomonadati; Pseudomonadota; Gammaproteobacteria; Oceanospirillales; Halomonadaceae
Description: partial 16S ribosomal RNA
Rfam family: Bacterial small subunit ribosomal RNA
Source: RNAcentral